UUUGACCGUGCGAAGGUAGCAUAAUCAUUAGUCUUUUAAUUGAAGGCUUGUAUGAAUGGCUGGAUGAAAGACAACCUGUCUUUUUUUAUUAUGUGAAUUUAACUUUUAAGUGAAAAGGCUUAAAUUAUCUAGUGGGACGAUAAGACCCUAUAAAACUUUAUAUAAUGUGUGUUUAAUGAUUAUAUUUAGUUUAAAGUCGUUUUAUGUAAAUUAUAUUUCGUUGGGGAGAUGUGUAUAUAAUUUGUAACUGUUUUUUUAAUUAAAUAAUUAUAAUUAGUUUUUGAUCCUUUAAUAAAGAUUAAAAGAUUAAGUUACUUUAGGGAUAACAGCGUAAUUUUCUCUGAGAGCCCCUAUCGACGAGAGUAGUUGCGACCUCGAUGUUGAAUUAAAAUUUCAGAUUGGUGUAGCCGCUUUUCUGGUGGGUCUGUUCGACCUUUAAAAUUUUACAUGAUUU
RNAcentral lists this ribosomal RNA (454 nucleotides) under Periclimenes laccadivensis. Its description in RNAcentral is "partial 16S ribosomal RNA". It matches the Rfam family "Bacterial large subunit ribosomal RNA", at positions 1941 to 2606 of the family's 2925-position model. Lineage: Eukaryota; Metazoa; Arthropoda; Malacostraca; Decapoda; Palaemonidae. The record is from RNAcentral.